CGUACACUCCUACGGGAGGCAGCAGUGGGGAAUAUUGGACAAUGGGCGCAAGCCUGAUCCAGCCAUGCCGCGUGAGUGAUGAAGGCCCUAGGGUUGUAAAGCUCUUUCACCGGUGAAGAUAAUGACGGUAACCGGAGAAGAAGCCCCGGCUAACUUCGUGCCAGCAGCCGCGGUAAUACGAAGGGGGCUAGCGUUGUUCGGAUUUACUGGGCGUAAAGCGCACGUAGGCGGACUAUUAAGUCAGGGGUGAAAUCCCGGGGCUCAACCCCGGAACUGCCUUUGAUACUGGUAGUCUUGAGUUCGAGAGAGGUGAGUGGAAUUCCGAGUGCAGAGGUGAAAUUCGUAGAUAUUCGGAGGAACACCAGUGGCGAAGGCGGCUCACUGGCUCGAUACUGACGCUGAGGUGCGAAAGCGUGGGGAGCAAACAGGAUUAGAAACCCCUGUAGUCCCAUGA
This 454-nucleotide ribosomal RNA is filed under the name uncultured organism. Its description in RNAcentral is "partial 16S ribosomal RNA". It matches the Rfam family "Bacterial small subunit ribosomal RNA", at positions 330 to 800 of the family's 1533-position model. The record is from RNAcentral.